This 348-nucleotide ribosomal RNA is filed under the name Triticum aestivum (bread wheat). Its description in RNAcentral is "partial small subunit ribosomal RNA". Lineage: Eukaryota; Viridiplantae; Streptophyta; Magnoliopsida; Poales; Poaceae. The record is from RNAcentral.
AUGGAAAUCUUGGGCACAAUUGAAGGUGCAGUCGGCGAACUGCCCAAAGCAGAAUUAUUCGCGGUUGUGGCAUGGUACAUCUGGUGGCAGCGCCGUCAGAUUGUUAAAGGCGAAACAGUACAAGCACUAGACCGAACUGCUCUUGCUAUAAAAGUUCUAUGUACCAAUUUUGUCAGAUCAUCGUCGCCAAAAUGUCCUAUUAGGAAACGUGAUCACAUGUGGAAAAAACCAACUAGAGGAGCGAUAAAGGUCAACGUUGAUGCUUUGUUUUGUACUAAUACCAUGUCUGGAGCCACAGGAGCUGUUGCUCGGGAUGAAAAGGGUGAUUUCAUUGCAGCCGCCACAUGA